This 570-nucleotide ribosomal RNA is filed under the name uncultured bacterium. Its description in RNAcentral is "bacterial SSU rRNA". It matches the Rfam family "Bacterial small subunit ribosomal RNA", at positions 800 to 1369 of the family's 1533-position model. The record is from RNAcentral.
CUGUAAACGAUGAAUACUAGGUGUCGGGGGUUACGGACGUCUGGUGCCGCAGCAAACGCAGUUAGUAUUCCACCGGGGGAGUACGUUCGCAAGAAUGAAACUCAAAGGAAUUGAGGGGGACCCGCACAAGCGGUGGAGCAUGUGGUUUAAGUCGAAGCAACGCGAGGAACCUUACCAGGCCUUGACAUCCCCCUGGAUAACGGGUAAUGCCGUUAGCCUUUCGGGGCAGGGGAGACAGGUGGUGCAUGGUUGUCGUCAGCUCGUGUCGUGAGAUGUUGGGUUAAGUCCCGCAACGAGCGCAACCCCUGUUCUCAGUAGCCAGCACGAAGAGGUGGGCACUCUGAGGAGACAGCCAGGGACAACCCGGAGGAAGGCGGGGAUGACGUCAAAUCAUCAUGCCCCUUAUGGUCUGGGCUACACACGUGCUACAAUGGCGCAUACAAAGUGAGGCAAGCCGGCGACGGCAAGCAAAACACAGAAAGCGCGUCUCAGUUCGGAUUGCAGCCUGCAACUCGGCUGCAUGAAGCCGGAAUCGCUAGUAAUCGCGGAUCAGAAUGCCGCGGUGAAUAC